This 244-nucleotide long non-coding RNA is filed under the name Theobroma cacao (cacao). Its description in RNAcentral is "long non-coding RNA (TCAC_LNC004635)". Lineage: Eukaryota; Viridiplantae; Streptophyta; Magnoliopsida; Malvales; Malvaceae. The record is from RNAcentral.
UAAUUUAUGAUUCUAAUUGAUGCCUUAUGAUAAUGUGUUGGCAUGACUGGCUGGGAUUGUGGUUUGUGAACUAUAUGAAUUGUUCUGUUUUACAUUUAUAGGCUGGGUACUAUAAUAUUAGUCAUGUUAUGCUGUCAAAAUUUUAUUGUAUGGUGGGUUUAGCUUGCUGCAGUGGGCGGGUUCUGUGGACCAGCCUAUUAGAGGGGCACAAAAUUCGGUUAUAUACGAACCUCGAUUGGAGAGG